This 334-nucleotide RNase P RNA is filed under the name Sulfurovum sp. RNAcentral describes it as "RNase P RNA component class A". It matches the Rfam family "Bacterial RNase P class A". Rfam says of the family: Ribonuclease P (RNase P) is a ubiquitous endoribonuclease, found in archaea, bacteria and eukarya as well as chloroplasts and mitochondria. Its best characterised activity is the generation of mature 5'-ends of tRNAs by cleaving the 5'-leader elements of precursor-tRNAs. The record is from RNAcentral. Lineage: Bacteria; Pseudomonadati; Campylobacterota; Epsilonproteobacteria; Campylobacterales; Sulfurovaceae.
UAGGAGCGACAGGUAGUUGCUGGUGAAGAGAUUCACGAGAGGAAAGUCCGUGCUACAAGUGAGAUAGGACUCCAUCUAACCGAUGGCCAGAGUAAUCUGAGGGCAAGUGCAACAGAGAGUAUGAAAACCAUUUAGGUGGUAAAAGGUGAAAGGGUGGUGUAAGAGACCACCAGUACUUAUGGUAACAUGGGUAGCUAGGUAAACCCUGUCCGUAGCAAGAAGCAUAUGGUUGAAAUCUCACAUUUUUAGUGCUUCGCUUGAGCGUUUUGGCAACAACUCGCCUAGAUAAAUAACUACCCAACGACAGAACACGGCUUAUCGUCUCUCCUAAGCA